Molecule: ribosomal RNA, 497 nt
Filed under: uncultured bacterium
Lineage: Bacteria
Description: partial 16S ribosomal RNA
Rfam family: Bacterial small subunit ribosomal RNA
Source: RNAcentral
GAUGAACGCUGGCGGCGUGCCUAAUACAUGCAAGUCGAGCGAACGGACGAGAAGCUUGCUUCUCUGAUGUUAGCGGCGGACGGGUGAGUAACACGUGGAUAACCUACCUAUAAGACUGGGAUAACUUCGGGAAACCGUAGCUAAUACCGGAUAAUAUUUUGAACCGCAUGGUUCAAAAGUGAAAGACGGUCUUGCUGUCACUUAUAGAUGGAUCCGCGCUGCAUUAGCUAGUUGGUAAGGUAACGGCUUACCAAGGCAACGAUGCAUAGCCGACCUGAGAGGGGGAUCGGCCACACUGGAACUGAGACACGGUCCAGAGUCCUACGGGAGGCAGCAGUAGGGAAUCUUCCGCAAUGGGCGAAAGCCUGACGGAGCAACGCCGCGUGAGUGAUGAAGGUCUUCGGAUCGUAAAACUCUGUUAUUAGGGAAGAACAUAUGUGUAAGUAACUGUGCACAUCUUGACGGUACCUAAUCAGAAAGCCACGGCUAACUACGUG